CUACGGAAGGUCCGGGCGUUAUCCGGAUUUAUUGGGUUUAAAGGGAGCGCAGGCGGAGAUGCAAGCGUGACGUCAAAUUUCGGGGCUCAACCCCGUCUCGCGUCGCGAACUGCGUCCCUUGGUUGCGGGACGGGGAGGCGGAACUCGUGGAGUAGCGGGGCAAUGCAUAGAUAUCAAGAAGAACUCCGAUUGCGAAGGCAGUCCGCUGGGGCACGUCUGACGCUGAUGCUCGAAGGUGCGGGAAUCAAACAGGAUUAGAUACCCUGGUAGUCCGCACGGUAAACGAUGAUUACCCGAUGUCGGCGGCAGACAGUCGGCGGCCAAGCGAAAGCGAUAAGUAAUCCACCUGGGGAGUACGCCGGCAACGGUGAAACUCAAAUGAAUGGACGGGG
Molecule: ribosomal RNA, 392 nt
Filed under: uncultured bacterium
Lineage: Bacteria
Description: partial 16S ribosomal RNA
Rfam family: Bacterial small subunit ribosomal RNA
Source: RNAcentral